AGCGAACGCUGGCGACAGGCCUAACACAUGCAAGUCGAACGAACCUUUCGGGGUUAGUGGCGGACGGGUGAGUAACACGUGGGAACGUGCCUUUAGGUUCGGAAUAACUCAGGGAAACUUGUGCUAAUACCGAAUGUGCCCUUCGGGGGAAAGAUUUAUCGCCUUUAGAGCGGCCCGCGUCUGAUUAGCUAGUUGGUUGAGGUAAUGGCUCACCAAGGCGACGAUCAGUAGCUGGUCUGAGAGGAUGAUCAGCCACAUUGGGACUGAGACACGGCCCAAACUCCUACGGGAGGCAGCAGUGGGGAAUCUUGCGCAAUGGGCGAAAGCCUGACGCAGCCAUGCCGCGUGAAUGAUGAAGGUCUUAGGAUUGUAAAAUUCUUUCACCGGGGACGAUAAUGACGGUACCCGGAGAAGAAGCCCCGGCUAACUUCGUG
RNAcentral lists this ribosomal RNA (434 nucleotides) under uncultured bacterium. RNAcentral's name for it is "partial 16S ribosomal RNA". It matches the Rfam family "Bacterial small subunit ribosomal RNA", at positions 29 to 507 of the family's 1533-position model. The record is from RNAcentral.